RNAcentral lists this unclassified non-coding RNA (340 nucleotides) under Hevea brasiliensis (rubber tree). Lineage: Eukaryota; Viridiplantae; Streptophyta; Magnoliopsida; Malpighiales; Euphorbiaceae. The record is from RNAcentral.
AAACGGCUUAUUCUACUUUAGGGGUUCUCAUAAUCCUAAAGUUGUCUUCUAAUCUCUAACAUUUAGAGAUUUUAAUUCCGUAAAGUCAAUUAGUGAAAGACCACUAAUUAUUACUAACUUUACAAGUGUUAACAUCUAAUUCACCAAUUAGAUGUGUUUUCAACUUUUUAUUGUGCCACUUGUCCAGUUUGUAUAAAUUGGAGAUUUGAACAAGUCAUAUCACUUUAGAGAUUUUGAUAUCCCUAAAGUGUUAUGAAAACUUUAAUAAGUCAUUUACACAAUUUUCUUUCGUGAGUUCUCAAGCUUGGUGUGUUUUGGAACUUGGUGUGUUGCAGCCCUA